RNAcentral lists this ribosomal RNA (229 nucleotides) under uncultured bacterium. RNAcentral describes it as "partial 16S ribosomal RNA". It matches the Rfam family "Bacterial small subunit ribosomal RNA", at positions 568 to 796 of the family's 1533-position model. The record is from RNAcentral.
UACGUAGGCGGAAAAUUAAGUCAGUAGUGAAAUCCUGCAGCUUAACUGUAGAACUGUUAUUGAUACUGGUUUUCUUGAAUAUAGUUGAGGUAGGCGGAAUGUGUAAUGUAGCGGUGAAAUGCUUAGAUAUUACACAGAACACCGAUUGCGAAGGCAGCUUACUAAGCUAUGAUUGACGCUGAGGUACGAAAGCGUGGGGAGCAAACAGGAUUAGAUACCCUGGUAGUCC